Cercocebus atys (sooty mangabey) is the source of this 1045-nucleotide long non-coding RNA. RefSeq lists it as uncharacterized. NCBI's taxonomy places the organism in Eukaryota, Metazoa, Chordata, Mammalia, Primates, Cercopithecidae. The record is from RefSeq and is a predicted model, not a curated record. The transcript is spliced from 4 exons.
CGCGAAGCUUGGGGGCGUGGAAAGGUCGGCUCCAGAGGCCAGCCAUUGGGAGGAGAGAGGGGGAAAAGCUCCGAGCGGUGCAUGUGGAGAGUGCAAGCGCGUGCAAGUGGGCUGGCAUACCUAGUUGUGCUGUCAGCCAAAGCCCACCAAGUUCAUCCUGUAAAGUCACAUGCCUGAAGAAACAACCAAAAGUCCAUUACUUAAAACAUCAUAUGCAGAACAUACUGAUCUACAAAAGACCCAACGACCCAAAUUAUAUGCUGCCCAACCUAUUGGUGAACUGGAUCAGAACUGGCCAAGGAUUGGGUCUCACUCUGUCACCCAGGCUGACUUAACACCACAUAGAAGCUGCCAUGGCUUAUGGCUUGUACCCUCUGAAGCAGUGGCUGGAGCUGUACUUGGAGCCCUUUGAGCUGGUGCUAGAGGGGCCUGGAUGGGUGGUGAAGUGUCCUGAGGCUGCACAAGCCAGUGGUGCCCCAGGCCUGGCCCCCUAAACCAUUCUUUCCUCCUAGGCCUCUGGGACUGUGAUGGGAGGGGCUGUCCCAAAGACUUCUAAAAUGCCUUUGAGGCCUUUUCCCCAUUGUGUUGGAUAUUACCACUUGGCUCUCUUUUGAGUCAUGCUAAUCUCUCCAGUAAGUGGUUGCUGUGCAACCUGCUUGGAUUCUUCCCCUGAAAAUACUUUUCUUUCUCUGCCACAGGGCCAGGCUAUACAUUUUCUAAACAUUUGGACUCUGCUUUUAAAUGUGAGUCCCAACCUUAAGUAAUUCCAUUGCUCCCAUAUUGGAUCAUAGGUUGUUAGAAACAGCCACACCAUUUCUUGAAUGCUUUGCUGCUUAGAAGUUUCUUCCACUGGUACCCUAAGUCCUCACUCUUAGGUUCAACCUUCCACAGUUCCCUAGUACCAGGGCACAAUGCAGCCAAGCUCUUUGAUAAGGCAUAAUAAGGGUGACCUUUCCUCCAGUUCCAAAUAACUUCCUUAUUUCCUUCUAAGACCUCAUCAGCCUGGCUUUCACUGUCCAUGUUUCUAUCAGCAUUUUGGUUGCAA